Molecule: long non-coding RNA, 623 nt
Filed under: Equus caballus (horse)
Lineage: Eukaryota; Metazoa; Chordata; Mammalia; Perissodactyla; Equidae
Description: lncRNA (ENSECAG00000047515.1)
Source: RNAcentral
CAUCCUAGAAUGCUGCUGUUAUAGAAGGGCCCCCUCUACCCUGGCUGCGUGGCGCUAGGUGUUUAAGUGUGAAGUCAAGGUCACAGCAGGAAACAGGAUGCAACUCCCAUAGUCCAAAGGAAGAGGCCUUCAUUAAAGGACCGUCAGAGGAUUUUCAAAAGGGCAUUUGGAGUCCAGCGUCUCCAUGUGGACUUCACCCAGUAACAAAAUAUCUUAUCAAUUUGAAGAUGAACGUUUUUCACGUUUUAACACCUCUGAAGUUGACAGAAUCUUACGGUUGCUGUUCUCCAGGUGGCAGCCAGGACGUAGCUGCUGUUGCCUGCCCUUGCACAAACCUAGAUGUUAGUCCUCAUUCAGGUUGUCUUUAAAUGAUUCGUUGACUGUGUAUGGAGGAGAGUUACAGUUGUCCGAUGUGCCUUUGGUGGACCUUUUGUGGACAUCCUUCAGUAAGAACAAUAAAGUGCCAGCAUCAAAACUUAUAGAAUGAGCAUCAGCACCUUGGAAGCAAAUCCCAGAGACAAUAUUGCAGCAGUCUUAAGAAUAUUACCAAAGCUCCUGAUAGCCCAGCUGACAAAGCAUGAAAAAUACUCUGAUCUCAACUCUCCGUUGAAAGUGAUUCAGAG